This 385-nucleotide long non-coding RNA is filed under the name Marmota monax (woodchuck). The record is from RNAcentral. Lineage: Eukaryota; Metazoa; Chordata; Mammalia; Rodentia; Sciuridae.
GUGAGGCUUUGGGUCGCUUCUUGGCUGGGCCCUGAGUGGCCCAUGGAGGAGCCCUGCUCCCCCCGCCCCCCGGCUGCGUCCUGCCGUGGCCUCAGUGCCUCAGCAGAAUCACCAGAGAUGGGCAUGGAGGCAGAGCCUGAAGGCUGGCGUGCGAGCAUUACUGUUGGGGGUGACCUUCUUUGUGGGACAGUUACAGGAGAGUGCAGGGGUGGGGAGGGGAGAAGGCAUUUUCAUUUUUCAACAGAUGAGCCACAUUUUGGUAUCUCAUGUGCCCACUCCUGUCCCUCCACCGAGGUCCAGAUCAACCAGUUGCUUUCUUAGGAAACCACCACAGGCUGGGCACUGGCUGGUUUAUCCCUAGCCCAGAGGGGCAGGUCAUCACCCC